ACACUCCUACGGGAGGCAGCAGUGGGGAAUAUUGCACAAUGGGCGCAAGCCUGAUGCAGCCAUGCCGCGUGUAUGAAGAAGGCCUUCGGGUUGUAAAGUACUUUCAGCGGGGAGGAAGGUGUUGAGGUUAAUAACCUCAGCAAUUGACGUUACCCGCAGAAGAAGCACCGGCUAACUCCGUGCCAGCAGCCGCGGUAAUACGGAGGGUGCAAGCGUUAAUCGGAAUUACUGGGCGUAAAGCGCACGCAGGCGGUCUGUCAAGUCGGAUGUGAAAUCCCCGGGCUCAACCUGGGAACUGCAUUCGAAACUGGCAGGCUAGAGUCUUGUAGAGGGGGGUAGAAUUCCAGGUGUAGCGGUGAAAUGCGUAGAGAUCUGGAGGAAUACCGGUGGCGAAGGCGGCCCCCUGGACAAAGACUGACGCUCAGGUGCGAAAGCGUGGGGAGCAAACAGGAUUAGAAACCCGGGUAGUCCCAUGA
RNAcentral lists this ribosomal RNA (476 nucleotides) under uncultured organism. RNAcentral describes it as "partial 16S ribosomal RNA". It matches the Rfam family "Bacterial small subunit ribosomal RNA", at positions 333 to 800 of the family's 1533-position model. The record is from RNAcentral.